This 253-nucleotide ribosomal RNA is filed under the name uncultured bacterium. Its description in RNAcentral is "partial 16S ribosomal RNA". It matches the Rfam family "Bacterial small subunit ribosomal RNA", at positions 524 to 776 of the family's 1533-position model. The record is from RNAcentral.
UACGUAGGUGACCAGCGUUGUCCGGAUUUACUGGGCGUAAAGAGCGCGCAGGCGGUCGUUCAAGUCGAGUGUGAAAGCCCACGGCUCAACCGUGGAGGGUCAUUGGAAACUGGGGGACUUGAGUGCAGAAGAGGAGAGCGGAAUUCCACGUGUAGCGGUGAAAUGCGUAGAGAUGUGGAGGAACACCAGUGGCGAAGGCGGCUCUCUGGUCUGUAACUGACGCUGAGGCGCGAAAGCGUGGGGAGCGAACAGG